RNAcentral lists this unclassified non-coding RNA (794 nucleotides) under Hevea brasiliensis (rubber tree). The record is from RNAcentral. Lineage: Eukaryota; Viridiplantae; Streptophyta; Magnoliopsida; Malpighiales; Euphorbiaceae.
UUCUUCCACGGCGGUGGUUUUGCCUUCAUGGCACCCAGUUCUAAAACUUUUGAUGAAUUUUGCUACGGCCUUGCCAGGGAACUCUCCGCUAUCAUCAUCUCCGUUAACUAUCGCCUAUCUCCAGAGCAUCGUUGCCCUUUUCAAUACGAAGAUGCUUUCGAUACUCUAAAAUUCAUCGACACCGCAAAAAUUGAAGGCUUUUCAGGCAACGCCAAUCUCAAACAGUGUUUUAUUGCUGGAGAUAGCGCAGGGGGCAACUUGGUGCAUCAUGUAGCACUAAAAGCAAGUGAACAUGAGUUUUCUAAUCUAAAACUUACUGGAAACAUAUCAAUACAACCAUUUUUUGGAGGAGAAGAACGAACUGAAUCUGAUUUGAGAUUAACCCGAGCUCCAUUUGUUACCAUGGAGCGUGCAGAUUGGAUGUGGAAAGCAUUCUCGCCGGAGGGUUCAAACAGGGACCAUCCGGCGGCAAAUGUUUUUGGGCCGAAGUCGGUUGAUAUUUCCGGAGUUAAGUUUCCAGCAACGAUCAUUUUUGUUGGAGGAUUUGAUCUUUUGCAGGACAGGCAAGAAAGAUGCUAUGAAGGGUUGAAGAAAUCUGGAAAAGAAGCGUAUUUGGUUGAGUUUCCCAAUGCCCCACACUCAUUUUACGCUUUUCCUGAGCUGACUGAAUUUUCUUUGUUCAUAAAGGAAACGAAGGAUUUUAUGCAAAAGCAAUUAGCAUCUAAUAUAUUAUUGAAGGAAAUUCUGGUUGUUGAAUUACAAUUCUUGGGUCUUGAGCUUCGGCCACGACAGGG